Molecule: non-coding RNA, 453 nt
Organism: Oryzias latipes (Japanese medaka)
Lineage: Eukaryota; Metazoa; Chordata; Actinopteri; Beloniformes; Adrianichthyidae
Source: RefSeq, a predicted model, not a curated record
UUACAGAAAUAUCUUUGACAAAUUGGUGCUUCCAACUAACAAGCAACCAUCCUGGGGAGUUGAGAGGGUCCGUCAGGGGUCUUCACCUCCACUGAAGACAGCAGCUAACCAUCAUGGACCACACAAUGACACACAAAGAGACGUGAAAAAGUGAAUCCAGCAUGUGCAGAGCCUGGACUGAGGAGGUCCUGGAAGCUGCUGUGAGAUCACGACCUUCAUGUAGAAACGCCACUGCAGCUGCUGGAGGCGAAUCGAUCAGAUGUUUCAGUGAAUGUUUAAGGAAUCGAUCCACAGACGUUUGGAUCUUUCAGGUAAAAGAAUGAGAAGCUCAGCACAUUAAAAGCUUCAUCAGUGUCUGAAUAACUGAUCAAAUCCAGGAAUGUGAGCGCCACGCCACAGCCAACGCCCCCCCACAUCAGUCCAGGUGAGUUUGGAUGAGUUUGCACGGCUUGA